Molecule: small nuclear RNA, 94 nt
Organism: Rattus norvegicus (Norway rat)
Lineage: Eukaryota; Metazoa; Chordata; Mammalia; Rodentia; Muridae
Product: U2 spliceosomal RNA
Source: Ensembl
AUCGCUUCUCGGCCUUUUGGCUAAGAUCAAGUGAAGAAUCUAAUUUACUCUUUAAUUUUCUAUAUUCAUUUGAGAUGGAUUUUUCUAAUUCAAU